This 141-nucleotide ribosomal RNA is filed under the name uncultured bacterium. RNAcentral's name for it is "partial 16S rRNA". It matches the Rfam family "Bacterial small subunit ribosomal RNA", at positions 355 to 511 of the family's 1533-position model. The record is from RNAcentral.
UGGGGAAUUUUCCGCAAUGGGCGAAAGCCUGACGGAGCAAUGCCGCGUGGAGGUGGAAGGCCUACGGGUCGUCAACUUCUUUUCUCGGAGAAGAAACAAUGACGGUAUCUGAGGAAUGAGCAUCGGCUAACUCUGUGCCAG